GACGAACGCUGGCGGCGUGCCUAAUACAUGCAAGUUGAGCGCUGAAGGUUGGUACUUGUCCCAACUGGAUGAGCAGCGAACGGGUGAGUAACGCGUGGGGAAUCUGCCUUUGAGCGGGGGACAACAUUUGGAAACGAAUGCUAAUACCGCAUAAAAACUUUAAACACAAGUUUUAAGUUUGAAAGAUGCAAUUGCAUCACUCAAAGAUGAUCUCGCGUUGUAUUAGCUAGUUGGUGAGGUAAAGGCUCACCAAGGCGAUGAUACAUAGCCGACCUGAGGGGGUGAUGGCCCACAUUGGAACUGAGCCCGGCCCCAAACUCCUAGGGGGGGCAGCGGUGGGAAAUCUUCGGCAAUGAAGGAAGGUCGAACGGGGCACGGCGGGGGAGGGGAGGAGGGUUUUGGGUCGGUAAAACCCGGUUGGAGGGAAGGACGGUGGGUGGGGUUGAAAGGCCAUUCAGUGACGGUAACUACACAGAAAGGGACGGCUAACUACGUG
RNAcentral lists this ribosomal RNA (496 nucleotides) under uncultured bacterium. RNAcentral's name for it is "partial 16S ribosomal RNA". It matches the Rfam family "Bacterial small subunit ribosomal RNA", at positions 28 to 507 of the family's 1533-position model. The record is from RNAcentral.